GACGAACGCUGGCGGCGUGCUUAACACAUGCAAGUCGAACGGAAAGGCCCUGCUUUUGUGGGGUGCUCGAGUGGCGAACGGGUGAGUAACACGUGAGUAACCUGCCCUUGACUUUGGGAUAACUUCAGGAAACUGGGGCUAAUACCGGAUAGGAGCUCCUGCUGCAUGGUGGGGGUUGGAAAGUUUCGGCGGUUGGGGAUGGACUCGCGGCUUAUCAGCUUGUUGGUGGGGUAGUGGCUUACCAAGGCUUUGACGGGUAGCCGGCCUGAGAGGGUGACCGGCGACCUUAGGACUGAGAUAGGGCGCAGACUCGAACGGGAGGCAGCGGUGGGGAAUAUUGCACAAUGGGCGGAAGCCUAGUGCAGCAACGCCGCGUGCGGGAUGACGGCCUUCGGGUUGUAAACCGCUUUCGCCUGUGACGGAGCGUGAGUGACGGUAAUGGGUAAAGAAGCACCGGCUAACUACGUG
This 468-nucleotide ribosomal RNA is filed under the name uncultured bacterium. Its description in RNAcentral is "partial 16S ribosomal RNA". It matches the Rfam family "Bacterial small subunit ribosomal RNA", at positions 28 to 507 of the family's 1533-position model. The record is from RNAcentral.